This is a long non-coding RNA of Episyrphus balteatus (marmalade hoverfly), 1122 nucleotides long. RefSeq lists it as uncharacterized. Lineage: Eukaryota; Metazoa; Arthropoda; Insecta; Diptera; Syrphidae. The transcript has 3 exons. The record is from RefSeq and is a predicted model, not a curated record.
CCUCAAAACAAAUCACCAUUCACCAAACAUACAAAAACAAUCGCAUGACUGAGAUUUCUUUCAGAAAAUUUGUAAUUUACUUAAAGACUUCUGAUUGAUUGCUAUGUAAAAGCACUUAAUUUUCUUCAUUUUUUUUUUCAAUUUUUUGUUUAUAAUUAAAAUGCAUUUAUAAGGUAGAUUAAUUUUUGCUUACAUAAUUUUGACAUUAUUCAUAGUUAAAAUUGACAUGACCGGAAUCAGAUAAUUUAUGUGAAUAUCUGCCAAAAAAUAAUUUUGAAUCCCACACACACCUUUUGGUGUAAAUAAUUUAUGGUCAUCAUCAGUUUCAGCACAGAGGGGACAAUAAAAAAAACAAACAGAGCACCCAGACAGGCCCUCUUUUGACGACAACGCAACGGCUGGGAAUAUUAUUCUCAUUUGCAUAAAUACUCAAUUAAAUCACAAAUGUAAUUCAUUUAAUUUUAUACCUCGUACCCCACUUUUUUUGCUGCCCAUUUUCCUCUUCCUUCUUCCAGAAACAAUAAAUAAAAGAAUCACUUUCAAUUUAACAUCAAACAGAGAGCUGGGGACCGAAACGGAGACAUGAACAGGAAGAGGAAAAUACAUACAUAUAUAAAGCUCCCUCACAUUUAAAAGCAAAAAAAAAAACGAGAGAGACUUACAAAUUACAAAAAUAUUAUGCUAGGCAAACUCCUCAACUCAACUUAUCAUCGUCUUUUUGCUUCAAUUCAACAUUAUUUCUCUUUCGAUGAACAAGGCUGGACUUAUAUCAGGACUCCUACCGAAAUAAUUGCAAAUUGGUUUUAAAACGGUUGCAAGAUGGUUUCAAAUCGAUUGCUUCCAAAAAAUUUCUCAGUUAUGUUUAAAUUGAAGAAGUUAGUUCAGAAUCAAUGCGAAAAUUUCAGCUAAACAAAUUGCAAUUAAGUUUCAAAUCGAUUGCAAAUUGGUUAUUAAUUGGUUGAAAAUUAGUUUCAAAACGUCAUACAUAAAUAUCGUUUUCAUAAUAAUGAUUGUCAUAAAAAUUUUGAGCUAUAUACAAAUUUUAUAAGUCUCUAGCUUCUCAGAAUAACACUUAAUUACAAAAACUCCACGAUAAAAUUGCAUACAAGUUUGAUAUCGAUU